AGUGAACGCUGGCGGUAGGCCUAACACAUGCAAGUCGAACGGCAGCACAGUAAGAGCUUGCUCUUACGGGUGGCGAGUGGCGGACGGGGGAGGAAUACAUCGGAAUCUACUUUUUCGUGGGGGAUAACGUAGGGAAACUUACGCUAAUACCGCAUACGACCUACGGGUGAAAGCAGGGGAUCUUCUGACCUUGCGCGAUUGAAUGAGCCGAUGUCGGAUUAGCUAGUUGGCGGGGUAAAGGCCCACCAAGGCGACGAUCCGUAGCUGGUCUGAGAGGAUGAUCAGCCACACUGGAACUGGGACACGGUCCAGACUACUACGGGAGGCAGCAGUGGGGAAUAUUGGACAAUGGGCGCAAGCCUGAUACAGCCAUACCGCGUGGGUGAAGAAGGCCUUCGGGUUGUAAAGACCUUUUGUUGGGAAAGAAAAGCAGCAGGUUAAUACCCCGCUGUUCUGACGGUACCCAAAGAAUAAGCACCGGCUAACUUCGUG
Molecule: ribosomal RNA, 492 nt
Filed under: uncultured bacterium
Lineage: Bacteria
Description: partial 16S ribosomal RNA
Rfam family: Bacterial small subunit ribosomal RNA
Source: RNAcentral